UGUUAUGGGGAUUGCACCCACACGGUUC
RNAcentral lists this non-coding RNA (28 nucleotides) under Homo sapiens (human). Lineage: Eukaryota; Metazoa; Chordata; Mammalia; Primates; Hominidae. The record is from RNAcentral.